AACGAACGCUGGCGGCAUGCCUAACACAUGCAAGUCGAACGAGACCUUCGGGUCUAGUGGCGCAUGGGUGCGUAACGCGUGGGAACCUGCCCUUAGGUUCGGAAUAACUCCCCGAAAGGGGUGCUAAUACCGGAUAAUGUCUUCGGACCAAAGAUUUAUCGCCUUUGGAUGGGCCCGCGUUGGAUUAGCUAGUUGGUAGGGUAGAAGCCUACCAAGGCGACGAUCCAUAGCUGGUCUGAGAGGAUGAUCAGCCACACUGGGACUGAGACACGGCCCAGACUCCUACGGGAGGCAGCAGUGGGGAAUAUUGGACAAUGGGCGAAAGCCUGAUCCAGCAAUGCCGCGUGAGUGAUGAAGGCCUUAGGGUUGUAAAGCUCUUUUACCCGGGAUGAUAAUGACAGUACCGGGAGAAUAAGCUCCGGCUAACUCCGUG
This 433-nucleotide ribosomal RNA is filed under the name uncultured bacterium. Its description in RNAcentral is "partial 16S ribosomal RNA". It matches the Rfam family "Bacterial small subunit ribosomal RNA", at positions 29 to 507 of the family's 1533-position model. The record is from RNAcentral.